CGUAGUAGGCGGACCGGGACCGGCCGACGGGUACGGCGUAACGACGUAUAGCAACCUAACCUCGUACAGGGAGGUAACACUGAGAAAUCGGUACUAAUACCGCAUAACACUGUGAGAGGCAUCUCUUGUGGUUGAAAGUUUCGGCGGUUACAGAUGGGCAUGCGUUGUAUUAGCUGGUUGGUAAGGUAACGGCUUACCAAGGCGACGAUACAUAGGGGGACUGAGAGGUUAACCCCCCACAUUGGUACUGAGACACGGACCAAACUCCUACGGAAGGCAGCAG
Molecule: ribosomal RNA, 283 nt
Filed under: uncultured bacterium
Lineage: Bacteria
Description: partial 16S ribosomal RNA
Rfam family: Bacterial small subunit ribosomal RNA
Source: RNAcentral